This is a long non-coding RNA of Passer domesticus (house sparrow), 1247 nucleotides long. RefSeq lists it as uncharacterized. Lineage: Eukaryota; Metazoa; Chordata; Aves; Passeriformes; Passeridae. The transcript is spliced from 3 exons. The record is from RefSeq and is a predicted model, not a curated record.
AUUGUGUCUGAAGGGCACUUGGGCUCUUUGGUUUGAAGUGUGGAGCCAGAGGAGUUCAGAGCUGACAUUUCUGGGGGCAGACAGCACAGGAAAGGACUGGGCACAGGCUGAGGGUGACAGCAAAGCUGCUCUCAGGAAAGCUGCUGGGUGCUUUAAUUUGCUUAGUGGCCUUAUGUGCCCUGCAGGGUUCUCUGGGGGAGCAGAGAACCCACAGAGAGGGAAGGGAGCAGCAAUCACAGACCUUCCCUUGUGCUGCACUGGGAAUCUGCAGUCCCAGAUUCAAUAACAGCAGGCAAUACACUGCUGAAAGAGAUGGGAAAUACAAAAAAACCCUGGCUUUAUUUGGUGAUUCAUGGCAUUUACUCAUGGAGUGUGUAUUGUAGGCCUGUGCUGGAGAAUUUAAAGAACAGACAAAACUUCACUCACUCCAGUUUCUACAACUUGUUCUGAUGCAAGACAGUAUAAGCAGUGCCUCUAGUUAUCAUCCUUAUUAUUGAUGAAAAGGUUCCCUUUCUUGUGCCUCCUGAAGAACAUCCCUUCUUGCCCUCUACCAUGGGCAGCUGUGAGACAGAACAAUUCCCCUGGAGCUCCUGAGCCCACCCUCCCCUCACCUGGCACAGCUGAGGCCAGAGCAGCUGUGCCUGCCUGGAUCAGCACCUCCCCUCCUUCUCUGAAGGUACCUGGAACAGCUUCAAGCUGAAGUGUGGGUUUCUUGUCACUCUGUGAAAUAUUUUCGUUUACAGUAUUGCAGCCUAUAACUUUAAAAAUGUAGUUCAUAUGCAAGGAAAGGUAGUGGUGGAAACAAAUAUACUCCCUGCUUUGAAACAUGAAGAGAUGGAAUUAAAAGUUGUCACUUUCCAGAGCAAGACAGAAUGGAUUUCUACCCCUUGGCCUUCUGAAAGCAUACAGAGGCAGGGGAAAUGAGUCUGUAGUUGCAAGAACAAAGAGCCAUAACAUUCUUAACCUUCUGGAAACUGUUAGAAAAAAUUCAACAUGACCUCUGCCUGGGUGGGACACAAGACUCCACAGGGAAGUCUUGUUGCAGCUGUCUUGUCUUCUGGUGCUGCUGAGGACUGCUGGGCAACUGGUUUGAAAACUCAGCCUGUGUAGAGUACGUGAAACUGUUGUCAAAUAACUUUUCAGGAGAAACUAAUCCAGAGUAAGUGAGGAAGAGAGCUCUGGUGUUGAAGGUCUCGUGUAGUCAUGUACCUUUUACAGCCAGACAACAACAGAGGGCAACAGAUCGC